UGAUAGCAAUGAAGCGCGAGGUUGCUGCUUGAAAAAGCAGGUUUUCCGUGGAGCGAAUGUCAAGUUAGAAAACUGACGACAA
Molecule: non-coding RNA, 82 nt
Filed under: uncultured Blautia sp.
Lineage: Bacteria; Bacillati; Bacillota; Clostridia; Lachnospirales; Lachnospiraceae
Description: S10-Clostridia ribosomal protein leader
Rfam family: S10-Clostridia ribosomal protein leader
Source: RNAcentral